GGUCUCCUAUGACUUCCAACCUGAGCAAGUCUCCGAAACUCUAUAAACAUAGGAAAAAUACCCAGAGUAAGCUUUGAAAGCUUAGUAAGCCAUAAGCAAAUAAAUCAUCUCAAUGAUAUUAUAAUUCAAUUUGACUAGGCCGAAUUUAGCAAAUUUCAACCACAUAUACAUUCAUCAUACUCGUAAAUUCUUAUGACCACAUUAAGUAACUUCACUUAUCUUAUUUAUCAAUGAACAUAUAAACCAUGCUUUCAAAUUCAACCAUUUCAAUCUCAUUUAUCAAUUCAAAAUUUAAAUUAACUACCAUACAUCAAAGUCAUAUUACACAUGCUUCAUAAUUCCACUGUUCAAACCAUAUAUACUCCUCAUUCAAAUAUAUAUCACAUUCGGUCAUACAAAACACAUGACCAACAAAUCAAAACAUGCUCAUUUAACUCUUU
This 440-nucleotide long non-coding RNA is filed under the name Gossypium barbadense (sea-island cotton). RNAcentral's name for it is "long non-coding RNA (GBAR_LNC014629)". The record is from RNAcentral. Lineage: Eukaryota; Viridiplantae; Streptophyta; Magnoliopsida; Malvales; Malvaceae.